CAGGGAAUACAAUCUCUAUGUCUAUCAAGAAUGGGAAGAUACCAUGAAAGAAUAUGCCGAUUGGAGAGAAACAAUAGAAGCCUUCACAAAGAACUGAGUUCUCUAAAGAAAAAGGUUUCUGCACUUGAGCGAGGUCAUCGUAGCUCAGGAUCAGAGCAAUCAGGAGAUGACAAGAAGAAUUAGCCAGUGUUAUGUCAGCUUGAAGAAUGUUUAAGCAAUAUUUUAGUUUGUUUCAGAAAGAAAAAAAAUGUAUGUUUAAAAAUAACGUAAUGGAAGGAAAGAUUACAAUUGACAACUCUCACAUGUCAAUUAUUUCCAGUGCUUUAUGAAUCAUGUUGAAGUUGUUUGCAAUGUGGAUAAUAAUUUCUCAUGAACAGCAAAAGCAAGAUCUUAUUUUCAUUUUUUUCUAAUCACUGUGUGGUUCUAAUGUCAUGCAAAAUUGGAAUUUUGAAUCAGUGACAAGAUUUUUGUUCCUUGGUGUUGGGAAGUCUGUGUUAUUUGUUUCUGAUAAAUAAAUCUGUUUUCAAUGUUAAAAAAUAA
Eublepharis macularius is the source of this 540-nucleotide long non-coding RNA. RefSeq lists it as uncharacterized. NCBI's taxonomy places the organism in Eukaryota, Metazoa, Chordata, Lepidosauria, Squamata, Eublepharidae. The transcript has 2 exons. The record is from RefSeq and is a predicted model, not a curated record.